ACGGGAGGCAGCAGUGGGGACUAUUGCACAAUGGGCGCAAGCCUGAUGCAGCGAUGCCGCGUGAGGGAAGAAGGUUUUCGGAUUGUAAACCUCUGUCAACAGGGACGAAAAUGACGGUACCUGUGAAGGAAGCUCCGGCUAACUACGUGCCAGCAGCCGCGGUAAUACGUAGGGAGCAAGCGUUAUCCGGAAUUACUGGGUGUAAAGGGAGUGUAGGCGGGACUGUAAGUCAGAUGUGAAAUAUGCCGGCUCAACUGGCAGACUGCAUUUGAAACUGCGGUUCUUGAGUGAAGUAGAGGUAAGCGGAAUUCCUAGUGUAGCGGUGAAAUGCGUAGAUAUUAGGAGGAACAUCAGUGGCGAAGGCGGCUUACUGGGCUUUAACUGACGCUGAGGCUCAAAAGCGUGGGGAGCAAACAGGAUUAGAUACCCUGGUA
RNAcentral lists this ribosomal RNA (434 nucleotides) under uncultured Ruminococcus sp. Its description in RNAcentral is "bacterial SSU rRNA". It matches the Rfam family "Bacterial small subunit ribosomal RNA", at positions 341 to 792 of the family's 1533-position model. The record is from RNAcentral. Lineage: Bacteria; Bacillati; Bacillota; Clostridia; Eubacteriales; Oscillospiraceae.